GACGAACGCUGGCGGCGUGCCUAAUACAUGCAAGUAGAACGCUGAAGCUUGGUGCUUGCACCGAGCGGAUGAGUUGCGAACGGGUGAGUAACGCGUAGGUAACCUGCCUGGUAGCGGGGGAUAACUAUUGGAAACGAUAGCUAAUACCGCAUAAGAGUAGAUGUUGCAUGACAUUUGCUUAAAAGGUGCAAUUGCAUCACUACCAGAUGGACCUGCGUUGUAUUAGCUAGUUGGUGAGGUAACGGCUCACCAAGGCAACGAUACAUAGCCGACCUGAGAGGGUGAUCGGCCACACUGGGACUGAGACACGGCCCAGACUCCUACGGGAGGCAGCAGUAGGGAAUCUUCGGCAAUGGACGGAAGUCUGACCGAGCAACGCCGCGUGAGUGAAGAAGGUUUUCGGAUCGUAAAGCUCUGUUGUAAGAGAAGAACGAGUGUGAGAGUGGAAAGUUCACACUGCGACGGUAUCUUACCAGAAAGGGACGGCUAACUACGUG
RNAcentral lists this ribosomal RNA (497 nucleotides) under uncultured bacterium. Its description in RNAcentral is "partial 16S ribosomal RNA". It matches the Rfam family "Bacterial small subunit ribosomal RNA", at positions 28 to 507 of the family's 1533-position model. The record is from RNAcentral.